Macaca mulatta (Rhesus monkey) is the source of this 178-nucleotide non-coding RNA. The record is from Rfam. Lineage: Eukaryota; Metazoa; Chordata; Mammalia; Primates; Cercopithecidae.
CCCUGGCCAAGAUAGCACAGACAGAAGACCGAUUGGGGUGUUUCGCAAAUGUGAGAGGUGGGUAACCACACUGCACUCCUGUGCUGCGGCCCGUGGCUGCAUUGCCUGCAACGCCCUGCCUGCUGCUGCCUGACUGGUUGGCAAGACGAAGCUCUCCCUGGUGGCCGCGUUGCUGCUG